Molecule: non-coding RNA, 6158 nt
Organism: Salmo salar (Atlantic salmon)
Lineage: Eukaryota; Metazoa; Chordata; Actinopteri; Salmoniformes; Salmonidae
Source: RefSeq, a predicted model, not a curated record
GAGAGAGAGACAGAGAGGAACCAUAGUUGGGAGAGCAUCUAUUUGUCCUCCGAGGAAUGCCUGAAAUCUUCGAGGCGAUGGGGACUGUUCUCUGGAUUAUUCUCUGCAUGGAUCAUACUACGGGUUAUUUCACUCUGUCGGUAUCGGUAUGAUUAACGUAAAGUUGCAUUACGGGACUAUGGAGAGGAGGAAGAGCCUGUUUACCUGGCUGGUACUCUUCACGGUGCAGUUCAGCCGGAGUUCACAGCAAGUACUCAGAAUAGGUGGUAUCUUUGAGACUCGUGAGAGUGAGUUGGUGAGUGUAGAGGAGUUGGCCUUUAAGUUUGCAGUGAGCAACAUUAACAGGAACCGGACCUUAAUGCCCAACACCACUCUGACCUACGACAUCCAGAGAAUCAACCUCUUCGACAGCUUCGAGGCCUCCAGGAGAGUGUGUGACCAGUUGGCUCUGGGUGUAUCUGCAGUGUUUGGUCCGUCCCACAGCUCCUCAGUCAGUGCUGUCCAGUCCAUCUGUAACGCCCUGGAGGUACCCCACAUCCAGACGCGCUGGAAACACCCAUCAGUGGACAACAGAGACACGUUUUACAUCAAUCUCUACCCAGAAUACACUGCCAUCUCCAGAGCCAUACUGGACAUAGUGACCUUCUUCAAGUGGAAGAGCCUAACGGUGGUCUACGAGGAUAGCACAGGUCUGAUGCGGAUGCAGGAGUUGAUCAAGGCUCCGUCUAAGUUGAACCUGAAGAUCAGGAUACGGCAGCUUCCACCUGGAGAGAUUGACGCCAGACCUCUUCUGAAGGAGAUGAAGAAAGACAAAGAGUUCUAUAUCUUGUUUGACUGCUCCUACCGGACCUCUGCAGAGAUACUCAAACAGCUCUCGUCGAUGGGAAUGAUGACAGAAUACCAUCAUUUCUUCUUCACUACAUUGGAUCUGUUUGCGUUAGACCUGGAGCCAUACCGCUACAGUGGCGUGAAUAUGACAGGUUUCAGGCUGUUGAAUAUAGACGACCCGUAUGUAGCUUCCACCAUGGAGAAGUGGUCUCUGGAGAGGCUUCAGGCUCCACCUAAACAGGAGAGUGGAUUAAUGGAUGGAGUUAUGACGACGGAGGCAGCGUUGAUGUAUGACGCGGUGUUCAUGGUUGCCGUGGCGUCGCAGCGAGCCACUCAGAUGACUGUCAGCUCCCUGCAGUGUCACCGACACAAACCCUGGCGCUUUGGACCGCGCUUCAUGAACCUCUUCAAAGAGGCCCAGUGGGACGGUCUGACAGGUCAUAUAGUCCUUAAUAAGACAGAUGGUCUGAGGAGAGACUUUGACUUGGACAUCAUCAGUCUGAAGGAAGAUGGCACAGCCAGGGGCUUUGUUGAAGGCUCCAGUCGCCUCACUAAAAGGUGGAGCAAGAUUGCGGUGUGGAACUCCUACACAGGUUUGAACCUUACAGAGACCAGCAGGGAUAAAACCAACAACGUGACUGACUCUAUGGCCAACAGGACUCUGAUCGUUACUACUAUAUUGGAAAACCCUUAUGUGAUGUUUAAGAAGUCAGACAAGGAGCUGUCUGGCAACGACCGGUUUGAGGGUUACUGCCUUGACCUGCUGAAGGAGCUGUCCAACAUCCUGGGGUUCACCUACGAGGUCAAACUGGUGUCUGAUGGGAAGUAUGGUGCACAAAACGAUAAGGGGGAAUGGAACGGCAUGGUCCGAGAGCUCAUCGACCACAUAGCUGACCUCGCUGUAGCCCCUCUGACCAUCACAUAUGUGAGAGAGAAGGUGAUAGACUUCUCUAAGCCCUUCAUGACCUUGGGAAUCAGUAUCCUGUACAGGAAACCCAAUGGCACCAACCCCGGAGUGUUCUCCUUCCUCAACCCACUGUCUCCUGACAUCUGGAUGUAUGUUCUACUGGCCUGCACCGGAGUGAGCUGUGUCCUGUUUGUCAUCGCCAGAUUUACUCCCUAUGAGUGGUACAACCCUCACCCCUGCAACCCCUCGUCAGAGUUGCUAGAGAAUAAUUUCACCUUACUCAAUAGUUUCUGGUUUGGAGUGGGAGCUCUCAUGCAGCAAGGGUCAGAGUUGAUGCCUAAGGCCUACUCCACCCGUAUAGUAGGAGGUAUCUGGUGGUUCUUCACCCUGAUCAUCAUCUCCUCUUACACGGCCAACCUGGCUGCCUUCCUCACCGUGGAGAGGAUGGACGCUCCGAUCGACUCCGCUGACGACCUGGCUAAACAGACCCGUAUAGAAUACGGAUCAGUCAGGGACGGGUCUACCAUGACCUUCUUCAAGAAAUCUAAGAUCUCCACCUAUGAGAAGAUGUGGGCGUUUAUGAGCAGCAGGAAGAACACAGCUCUGGUGAAGAACAACAGAGAGGGGAUCACCAGGGUCCUGACCACAGACUACGCUAUGCUGAUGGAGUCUACCAGCAUAGAGUACAUCAGUCAGAGGAACUGUAACCUCACGCAGAUAGGAGGACUCAUAGACUCCAAGGGCUACGGAGUGGGCACUCCCAUAGGCUCCCCUUACAGAGACAAGGUGACCAUCGCCAUCCUGCAGCUGCAGGAAGAAGGGAAGCUCCACAUGAUGAAGGAGAAAUGGUGGAGAGGGAACGGUUGUCCCGAGGAGGACAACAAAGAAGCCAGCGCGUUGGGCGUGGAGAACAUUGGUGGUAUCUUCAUCGUCCUGGCGGCCGGACUCGUCCUGUCUGUGUUCGUAGCCAUCGGAGAGUUCAUCUACAAGGCCAGGAAGAACUCUGACAUAGAGGAGGCCUUUUGUUUCUUCUACGGGGUUCAGUCCCGUCAGUUCCAGCGUCGUGACAGCGCCUCCUCCUCCUCUGCCACCUCUCUGUCCACUGACCUGGAGAGCGGUCGGCUGCUGGGGGACGAUGACGACAUAGAGUAGCCUCCCCCAGCCCUGCCCAGGCUAGCCUCCGCCACACACACCGCUAGAAGUUUAGUGUGUCUCUUUUAGCUCUGUCAUGGAGGAGCUGGGUAUCUCCCUGCGCUGUCACAAAACCAUCAGGCGAAGGUCACGACCCCGAGGACGAUCUGGAUUGGCCAGCGUCCUCUGUCACCCCAAACGCAUCCCGAGGAAAGAGACCAUGGCGUAGGGACGCCUCGCCUACGCUUUAGUGAACUGAGGAAAACUCUGGUUGUAACAGACUCUUAUUGGACCAAUGGUAGGAUGGAUGGAAGGAUGGUACCCCCCCCCCCUUCUUUUUGUUUGUAUAUAUGGACUGGAUGUUGUUUGUUUCUCUCUCUCUCUUUUGUUUUUUGUGUAUAUACAUAAGAGCAAAUAAGCAUUGAGGAUGUAUUGUUCAUCAACCAGGAAAUGAACAUUGAGGAUGUAUUGUUCAUCAACCAGGAAAUGAACAUUGAGGAUGUAUUGUUCAUCAACCAGGAAAUGAACAUUGAGGAUGUAUUGUUCAUCAACCAGGAAAUGAACAUUGAGGAUGUAUUGUUCAUCAACCAGGAAAUGAACAUUGAGGAUGUAUUGUUCAUCAACCAGGAAAUGAACAUUGAGGAUGUAUUGUUCAUCAACCAGGAAAUGAACAUUGAGGAUGUAUUGUUCAUCAACCAGGAAAUGAGCAUUGAGGAUGCAUUGUUCAUCAACCAGGAAAUGAACAUUGAGGAUGCAUUGUUCAUCAACCAGGAAAUGAACAUUGAGGAGGUAUUGUUCAUCAACCAGGAAAUGAACAUUGAGGAUGUAUUGUUCAUCAACCAGGAAAUGAACAUUGAGGAUGUAUUGUUCAUCAACCAGGAAAUGAACAUUGAGGAUGUAUUGUUCAUCAACCAGGAAAUGAACAUUGAGGAUGUAUUGUUCAUCAACCAGGAAGUAGGAUUGGCGAUACAGUGCUUGGGUGUUUUAUACUUUUUAAAAACACUUGGCUAUAAGUUUUAUAUUUCGAAAGACACUUUUAUACUUUUAAAACCUUUGUUUUAAGUGUUAUUUUGGGACCACUGUGUUAGUGCUGUUCUUAACACCCCGUGUUUGGCAGGAUUUUACCGUCUCCUGGAGCUAACAUUAGCAGGAUUUUACCGUCUCCUGGAGCUAACAUUAGCAGGAUUUUACUGUCUCCUGGAGCUAACAUUAGCAGGAUUUUACCGUCUCCUGGAGCUAACAUUAGCAGGAUUUUACCGUCUCCUGGAGCUAACAUUAGCAGGAUUUUACCGUCUCCUGGAGCUAACAUUAGCAGGAUUUUACCGUCUCCUGGAGCUAACAUUAGCAGGAUUUUACCGUCUCCUGGAGCUAACAUUAGCAGGAUUUUACCGUCUCCUGGAGCUAACAUUAGCAGGAUAACUACGACUAGCUAGGUCACCUGGCUGUCAACAGCAAAGCUUGUCUCACGUCGCCGUUGGCUCUUGUAGCUGCGACCGCUGUUUCUGACCUGAAUAUAAGCGUGUCAGACUCCUCUGUUUUGGAGUCAGAUCCCAGAGAUGGACAGUAAAGACACGAAAUGCCUGAAGAAGAAUUGACUGGUUUAUACAUUUUGUGAAAAGUGUAAACAGCUCUUUUGCUUCAACAGACCAGAUCAUUGAACUACUAGAGAAGAAACAAAGUCCUAAAAGAAUGUUUCACUCUGGCUAAGGAGACUUCCAGACUGCAUGGUGUCUUUGAUGCAACAAUUGUAAAUGACAGAGGGGAUAAUCCAGGAUGCUCUAUGAGAUUGGACUCCUCUGCUAUAGCUACUGAGGAUACUACCUUGGACCACUUUCCCGUAUUAACAAAUCAUUUUACGGCUCUGAGCCUCUGACUUCACCGGGCCCCUCCAAACAAGGUCCUUUUGCCACUCCCUCUCCGUCCUUUCAACUUCACCUCAGCACAAAGUACAAUCUCCUCUAAAUCUGGUCAUGGGUUACUGAGCUUCCCCUGGAGGCUAAACAAGACAGACAUACAGGUUCUCAUUUCCUCAUUACCAACAAUACAUCUCGGAUCGCUUUAGUCGUCUCCUCUGACUACACUACUGGCUUAAAUCCUACUGUUACUCCAUGAAUUUGAAGUUCAUUGACAAUUUUGACAACUUCUGGGAGUGGUCUCAGUUUUACAGGGCGAGCAAGAGUUCUCAGCCAACAUCGAGGAGGCUCUUGUAAAACAUUGACUCAAAUACAGCCUAACCCUGGGCCCCAGGUUGUUCUUCCAUCCCAUUCCCAUUAUUUUACAGCUUUAUCAUCUACUACAGAUAACCAUAUUCCCAAGGGGUAUCGUCUGUAAUAAUGUUGUGACCAUUAAGUUCAUGUAAUCUGUUAGUUCUGUUACUGUUAGCCCAAUUGGGUAGCCCACUGUGGUAAGCUCGUCCAGUGGUAUUAUUUGAAAUACCAUAAAUAUGGAUACCACCGCUGUUUUGAAAUGGCAUAGAGGGCUUGGACUGUUAAAUAUCAAGGUUGAAAUGUUUGAUGUCAAAGAUGGACCUUCUUGAUAUCUGGGACACGAGCCCGGAUGUUUUGGUUCUCACAUAGACUUGGCUAAAUGGCUCGAUUCCGGAUAAGGACAUUGAUACUGCAGAUUACAGCAUCUUCUCCUUGACUUUGUCCACAUUUUUGUUAUGUUACAGCCUGAAUUUAAAAUGGAUUAAAUUUGAGAUUUGUGGUUCACUGAACUACACACAAUAUCCCAUAAUGUCAAAGUGGAAUAAUGUUUAUAUAUUAAUGAAAAGCUGAAAUGUCUUGAGUCAAUAAGUAUUCAACCCCUUUGUUAUGGCAUGCCUAAAUAAGUUCAGGAGUAAAAAUUCUCCACAAUACUAAAAUAAUUGACUGAGUGAAAAGAAGGAAGCCUGUACAGAAUAAAAAUAUUCCAAAACAUGCAUUCUCUGUUUGCAACUGCAAAACAUUUGGCAAAGCAAUUCACUUUUUGUCCUGAAUACAAAGUGUUAUGCUUGGGGCAAAUCCAAUACAACACAGUGAUGAGUACCAAUCUCCAUAUGUUCAAGCAUAGUGGUGGCUGCAUCAUGUUAUGGGUAUGCUUGUCAUCGUUAAGAACUGGGGACUUUUUCAGGAUAAAAAUAGAAACAGAAUGGAGCUAAGCACAGGGAAAAUCCUAGAUGAAAACCUGGUUCAGUCUGCUUUCCACCAGACACUGGAAGAUGAAUUUACCUUUCAGCAGGACAAUAUCCUAAAACACAAGGCCAAAUAUACACUGGAGUUGCUUACCAACAAGACAGUGAAUGUUCCCAAGU